This is a long non-coding RNA of Cynoglossus semilaevis (tongue sole), 388 nucleotides long. RefSeq lists it as uncharacterized. The transcript is spliced from 2 exons. Lineage: Eukaryota; Metazoa; Chordata; Actinopteri; Pleuronectiformes; Cynoglossidae. The record is from RefSeq and is a predicted model, not a curated record.
UGAGGGAAAAAGACUACAUCUGACCAAUUGUUUGUGCCCUGAUUUGUUUUUGUUUUUUACGCUCCCUUGCAGGUCGAGGUUUUUGACCUGCUGUUGGUCACCAGCGAGAGCAACAGCAAGAAAACAUAUGUUGUGCAGUGCCAGGACUGUGCCCGCAGGGGGAGCCCUGACCUGGACAACUUUGUGGUUUUAGAACAGUAUAGAAUCGAGGAGCUGAUGCAGGUCUACGACCAGUUCACACUCGCGAGUCCAUUUUCAUCUUCCUGACCAAAACAGGCAAUACUCAUCUCUCUGAACUUCCGGCGUGACCCUCUGCAGCUCUAUAAUAAGGCAGCUGUGUUAAAGCUGUUUGUCUAUGCAACCUGCCCGGAGCAGAGUCUCUCCCCCA